RNAcentral lists this ribosomal RNA (477 nucleotides) under uncultured bacterium. Its description in RNAcentral is "SSU rRNA". It matches the Rfam family "Bacterial small subunit ribosomal RNA", at positions 26 to 518 of the family's 1533-position model. The record is from RNAcentral.
AGGAUGAACGCUGGCGGCGUGCCUAACACAUGCAAGUCGAACGUCCUGUCUCGCAAGAGGCAGGGAGUGGCGGACGGGUGAGUACCACGUGGGUCAUCUACCGUGAGGUGAGGAAUACCGGCGAGAAAUCGCCGACAAGACCGCAUAGCCUCGGUGCAAGUCGAGGAAAGCUCUCUCGAGAGAGGGAGCGCCACACGAGGAGCCUGCGCCCGAUUAGCUAGCCGGUGGAGUAAUGGUUCACCAGGGCGACGAUCGGUAGCUGGUCUGAGAGGACGAUCAGCCACACUGGGAUUGAGAACGGCCCAGACUCCUACGGGGGGCAGCAGUGAGGAAUUUUCGUCAAUGGGGGCAACCCUGAACGAGCAAACGCCGCGUGCAGGAAGAAGGUUUUCGGAUCGUAAAACUGGACUUUUCUCGGGGAAGAAGAACGGACGGUACCCGAGGAAUCAGCCCGGCUAACUACGUGCCAGCAGCCGC